Molecule: non-coding RNA, 146 nt
Organism: Paramuricea clavata
Lineage: Eukaryota; Metazoa; Cnidaria; Anthozoa; Malacalcyonacea; Plexauridae
Source: the annotation of a GenBank genome assembly
UACAUAUAUGUUAUUUACCGGCUGCGAGGUCCGGAUGAGAAAAACUGUGCCCGAGGCCCGAGCCCGAAGGGCGAGGGACGUUUUCAAGACCGAGGACACAGUUUUUCUCAUCCGGACCGACGCUGCCGGUAAAUAACGUGUUUAUU